Molecule: ribosomal RNA, 110 nt
Filed under: Phycisphaerales bacterium
Lineage: Bacteria; Pseudomonadati; Planctomycetota; Phycisphaerae; Phycisphaerales
Also listed under: 1 other name
Source: RNAcentral
CCUGGUGACCAUAUCGGCGGGGAAACGCCUGAUCCCAUUCCGAACUCAGAAGCUAAGCCCGCUGGAGCCGAUGGUAGUCGCUUUGCGGCGAGAGUAGGUAAUCGCCAGGA